This 460-nucleotide ribosomal RNA is filed under the name uncultured bacterium. Its description in RNAcentral is "partial 16S ribosomal RNA". It matches the Rfam family "Bacterial small subunit ribosomal RNA", at positions 338 to 795 of the family's 1533-position model. The record is from RNAcentral.
CCUACGGGUGGCAGCAGUGAGGAAUAUUGGUCAAUGGGCGCGAGCCUGAACCAGCCAAGUCGCGUGAGGGAAGACGGCCCUACGGGUUGUAAACCUCUUUUGCCGGGGAGCAACGGGCGCCACGUGUGGCGCCACUGAGAGUACCCGGAGAAAAAGCAUCGGCAAACUCCGUGCCAGCAGCCACGGUACUACGGAGGAUGCGAGCGUUAUCCGGAUUUAUUGGGUUUAAGGGGUGCGUAGGCGGAGUGUUAAGUCAGGUGUCAAAUUGAGGGGCCCAACCCCUUCCCGCCAUUGAAACUGGCGCUCUUGAGUGGAAGAGAAGUAUGCGGAAUGCGUGGUGUAGCGGUGAAAUGCAUAGAUAUCACGCAGAACCCCGAUUGCGAAGGCAGCAUGCCGGCUUCCGACUGACGCUGAAGCACGAAAGCGUGGGGAUCGAACAGGAUUAGAUACCCUGGUAGUC